GCUCUCUGCUGUGAAAAACGGGGUUAAUACCGCAUAACAACUUGGACCGCAUGGUCCGAGCUUGAAAGAUGGCUUCGGCUAUCACUUUUGGAUGGUCCCGCGGCGUAUUAGCUAGAUGGUGGGGUAACGGCUCACCAUGGCAAUGAUACGUAGCCGACCUGAGAGGGUAAUCGGCCACAUUGGGACUGAGACACGGCCCAAACUCCUACGGGAGGCAGCAGUAGGGAAUCUUCCACAAUGGACGAAAGUCUGAUGGAGCAACGCCGCGUGAGUGAAGAAGGGUUUCGGCUCGUAAAACUCUGUUGUUAAAGAAGAACAUAUCUGAGAGUAACUGUUCAGGUAUUGACGGUAUUUAACCAGAAAGCCACGGCUAACUACGUGCCAGCAGCCGCGGUAAUACGUAGGUGGCAAGCGUUGUCCGGAUUUAUUGGGCGUAAAGCGAGCGCAGGCGGUUUUUUAAGUCUGAUGUGAAAGCUUCGGCUCAACCGAAGAAGUGCAUCGAAACUUGAAUCUGAGA
RNAcentral lists this ribosomal RNA (517 nucleotides) under Lactiplantibacillus plantarum. RNAcentral describes it as "bacterial SSU rRNA". It matches the Rfam family "Bacterial small subunit ribosomal RNA", at positions 141 to 645 of the family's 1533-position model. The record is from RNAcentral. Lineage: Bacteria; Bacillati; Bacillota; Bacilli; Lactobacillales; Lactobacillaceae.